AUUUUCUAAAAAUUAACCAUUGAUACUUCACCUUUCUCAAAAACCCUUAGCUGAUGGGGCCCCUGGGUGGCUCAGUGUGUUAAGCGUCAGACUUCGGCUCAGGUCAUGAUCUUACAGUCUGUGGGUUCGAGCCCUGUGUUGGGCUCUGUGCUGACAGCUCAGAGCCUGGAGCCUGCUUCGGAUUCCGUACCUCCCUCUCUCUCUGACCCUCCCCUGCUCUCUCUGUCUCUCAAAAAUAAAUAAAAAACAUUAAAAAAGUUAAAAAAAAAAAAAGCCUUAGUUGUAAGAGCAGGAGGAAACCGUAACACCAUAUUCAGUCCCGCCUGCUUCUCCGUCAGCUCUGGCUUCUUCAAAGGCUCCGUUAGAUCUUGGGUGAUGACGCAUCCCACACCCGCCCCUUCACACUCACGCGCUCCCCUGAGCUCAGCCCGUUUCCCACGGCCCCCCAGGGUCCCAGUGUCUGUCUGGCCCUGGGGUGGCCGCUGGCCAGCUGGCAGGCACCGGACUUGUGUCUGCACUGGGUCCGGAGCGGCCAGCAGGGGCCGCUGUGUCUUUGUUUUUCAUCCAAGCUCCCCUACUGCUCAGAAGGUUUGUUUCUGGAAGGGCAUCUAACACAUCCCCCCGGAGACAGUCAAGGUAAAGGCUUACACAAUCCGGCAAGGAAAGACCUGCGUUCAAAACGCGGGCACAGGAAGAAGCAUCAGUACACGUUGAGCAGAUGGAACAGGACCGAGCCCUCGGGGACAUUAGAAAAGCAAAGAGUGUCCGCAAACCAGAGCGCUGACGACCACCUGGGGGGCAGCAGCGUCUCCGGCUCUGCUGCCAGAACCCACCGGAGCGGCAUUUCUGGGAGAAAUACCCUAACAUCUGCAGUUUGCUUUGAAAUACCUCCAGAAACCAGAUGGAGCAGAUGUGUGAAAAAGUAAAUACAGCAAAAGGAAAAAAAAAGUAUUUACUUAAUCAUUGAAUCUACAAUUUCAACCUUUCUGUAUCCUUGGAAGUCUUUGUAAUAAAAUGUUGGCGAG
This 1025-nucleotide long non-coding RNA is filed under the name Suricata suricatta (meerkat). RNAcentral describes it as "lncRNA (ENSSSUG00005016701.1)". The record is from RNAcentral. Lineage: Eukaryota; Metazoa; Chordata; Mammalia; Carnivora; Herpestidae.